GAGCCAACUUUAUCCAGAUCUUUUGUGGAGGGAAGAUCCAUCUUUAUUCUCAGACAUAGUUCUACUACCAGGCUAUAGAAAGAACAGGGAAGAGGAAGAAGCGGCUCUUGGUGUUUCUCCGCUUGCCCUCACUCUGGUUGGUUUUAUCAUCAAUGCUGGGAUGCUUCUGCUGGACCCGUGACGAUGACUGUGGGGCUUUUCCUCUUUCCUCUGCUCAUGUGCCUUGUUAUCAGUCAUCAGAAAGUGGCUCCUGGACAUAGUGUAUUUAUCUUCAUCUGAUGUGCAAAGAACAUGCGUAUUGAUUUCUGCUCUCAUCUCCCAUCGAUGCAAGAUGUAGCAUGGAUUUCCUGUUCACACAGUCUUGGUACAUCCUGUGAGUGAACCUCCCAGUGACCCAAGAUGCUGCUGUGUGGGUUUCCUGUUUAUUCUCAAUGCACGUAGUGGUUGGAUGGCGUAGUGGUUGGAUGGCUCAUCGGCCCAGGACUCAGCAUGAAUUUUCUGUCUACUCUUUCUUGGCACACCAGUGGCUGGAUCUCCAAUCAGUUCAGUCAGCUUCCUGUUCAUGAUCGAUACAUGCAGUGCUUGGCCCUCUGGUCAGCUCAGGUACAUAGCACGCAUUUCCUGCUCACCCCCUUCUGGUACAUUGGUGGGUGGAGCUCUCAGCAGCACAGGACUCAGUGAGUGUUUUCUUUUCGCCAUUUCUUGGUCCAUUAGUGGCUGAGCCUCC
This 727-nucleotide long non-coding RNA is filed under the name Mus musculus (house mouse). RNAcentral's name for it is "predicted gene, 50294". The record is from RNAcentral. Lineage: Eukaryota; Metazoa; Chordata; Mammalia; Rodentia; Muridae.